GCCGCCCAGGAGACUCUGCAGGAGGUGCACCGGUUCGUGGUCCGCGAGUACCUGGCGCGGGCGCUGAGGCCACGGGAGCGGUUCCGGGGCAUGGAGCGCAUGCAUGGCUCCCAGAAGAUGAGCCUGGAUGCCCAGGCCAUCAGCGACACCUUCCAGGGCCUGGGUUCCGAGGCCACAUGGUUGGACCAAGCCAUCCAGUGCGUGGCUGAGAUCCUGGGCGAGACCUACAAAGACGACAUCCAGCGGCACCUGGAGACUCUCAUCCGGAGCUACCCCGACAUCAGGCGGGACCACAUACUGGCCAUUCUGGCACUGCGCCGACUGGGCCGCCGGCGGAACCAGCAUCUCUUGCAGCACACCCAAGACCUGCUGAGAGCUGCGGCUGGGGUGGCGGGUGCGGAGGCCCCUCGGGGCCGCGUGCUCUUCGAGGAGAUCAAGGUGCCCAGUGCCAUGGCUGUGCUGAUCACCUGCGUCUAGUUCUCUCUGGCUCGAGGGGGGGCCGGCCGCUGGCAGGGAGCUGUGGUCAGUGGGGGUCAGCCAGGAGCCCAGGGAGUCACUCUGGGCCCUGCCCCCAACUCUGACACUGCAGUUAGGGAAUUUUUGUCGUCAGCAGCCAAGCGCAGCUGUCAGGCCAGAAGGAGCAGCCGUGCAGGAGGCAUUUCAGGCAUCGUCGAGGGGAGUGUUUUGGGGCCGCAGAGCUCUCAAUGCUGCCUGUCAGGGGGGGCCUCCCGCCCGACUGUCCAGCUUCACCCUCCAGUCUGAAAGUGAAGAGCAGAGUAUUUAUUUAAAAAAUAAAUGUGAAUUAAAA
RNAcentral lists this small RNA (808 nucleotides) under Pan troglodytes (chimpanzee). RNAcentral's name for it is "retained intron". Lineage: Eukaryota; Metazoa; Chordata; Mammalia; Primates; Hominidae. The record is from RNAcentral.